GUUACUUGAAAAAUAAGUGAUGCAGUAUCCUAGUCAGUAUGGUCUUUCUGAAGGCGGGCCUAAAAAUCCGUCAAGGGCACAUCGAUGAAGUUCCUGGUGCUGGCUUUUGACGCCCAGUUGGGGGCUGGUACUGGGAGUUAAGGGGAAGGGGCGACCUGCAAUGGCAUGUGGGCAUCGACCCCCUCCCCGUGGAGACCCAAGUGCGUGGGGAGUCGGAAACGGCGAACUAUGGCUUGGUUGUUAACCUGCAUGUGGUAGGAAGCUGCGUGCAGUGUAGCCUGACUUGAAGUGGCACUGGCGGAUUCCUCUGGUACAAUCAUAGAAUACGGGCCCGUAAUCUAUGAUUGUGGGAUGAAACUUUUGCUGCAACAGAGUCUAAGAAAGAUGCGUACUGUUGAGGAAAACUCCUAGGCUGUCUGACACAUGUCAGGGUAGGUCAGGGAUUAAAGUGUGGACUAAGUGGUAAUCUAGCCCUGAGAGCGGUGACGCCUCAGAUAGGGUUUAAAGGGUAACCGCCGGUUUGGCGACAGCCGGUACCGCUAUGGGAAAACCUGCUGGACCUAAGCCACAACAUUUACCUGACCUGCUACCACUUAUUUAAUUAACAUA
This 609-nucleotide small RNA is filed under the name Desulforamulus ferrireducens. The record is from RNAcentral. Lineage: Bacteria; Bacillati; Bacillota; Clostridia; Eubacteriales; Peptococcaceae.